Molecule: ribosomal RNA, 302 nt
Filed under: uncultured bacterium
Lineage: Bacteria
Description: partial 16S ribosomal RNA
Rfam family: Bacterial small subunit ribosomal RNA
Source: RNAcentral
GCAGCCGCCGCGGGAAUACGGAGGGUGCAAGCGUUAUCCGGAUUUAUUGGGUUUAAAGGGUCCGUAGGCGGACUUAUAAGUCAGUGGUGAAAGCCUGUCGCUUAACGAUAGAACUGCCAUUGAUACUGUAAGUCUUGAGUAUAUUUGAGGUAGCUGGAAUAAGUAGUGUAGCGGUGAAAUGCAUAGAUAUUACUUAGAACACCAAUUGCGAAGGCAGGUUACCAAGAUAUAACUGACGCUGAGGGACGAAAGCGUGGGUAGCGAACAGGAUUAGAUACCCCCGUAGUCCCUGUCUCUUAUAC